AGUUGACACAUUCCUCAGAAAAGGAGAAGUCAAAUUUAAUGGUAUAAGAUUUUCAGGAGCUUGUUGGAGGAGCUCCUGUUCAAGUGCUGCCAUGAAUAUGUUUGCAUAGGGGUAAUUGUGUUGAUUUCUUUCAACAUGUCUACACAGGCUUGGAUGCCUUGAUCAUUAGAAAAGAGUCAUAUAUGGUCUUGUAUGGUGUGUGUUUGGGUGUCGGGACAAAG
This is a long non-coding RNA of Dendronephthya gigantea, 221 nucleotides long. RefSeq lists it as uncharacterized. The record is from RefSeq and is a predicted model, not a curated record. The transcript is spliced from 4 exons. Lineage: Eukaryota; Metazoa; Cnidaria; Anthozoa; Malacalcyonacea; Nephtheidae.